This 291-nucleotide ribosomal RNA is filed under the name uncultured bacterium. RNAcentral's name for it is "partial 16S ribosomal RNA". It matches the Rfam family "Bacterial small subunit ribosomal RNA", at positions 337 to 620 of the family's 1533-position model. The record is from RNAcentral.
GCCUACGGGGGGCAGCAGUAGGGAAUCUUCCACAAUGGGCGAAAGCCUGAUGGAGCAACGCCGCGUGGGUGAAGAAGGUCUUCGGAUCGUAAAACCCUGUUGUUAGAGAAGAAAGUGCGUGAGAGUAACUGUUCACGUUUCGACGGUAUCUAACUAGAAAGCCACGGCUAACUACGUGCCAGCAGCCGCGGUAAUACGUAGGUGGCAAGCGUUAUCCGGAUUUAUUGGGCGUAAAGGGAACUCAGGCGGCCUUUUACGUCUGAUGUGCAAGCCUUCGGUUUAACCGGAGUA